RNAcentral lists this ribosomal RNA (434 nucleotides) under Streptococcus sp. oral taxon 071. RNAcentral describes it as "bacterial SSU rRNA". It matches the Rfam family "Bacterial small subunit ribosomal RNA", at positions 28 to 452 of the family's 1533-position model. The record is from RNAcentral. Lineage: Bacteria; Bacillati; Bacillota; Bacilli; Lactobacillales; Streptococcaceae.
GACGAACGCUGGCGGCGUGCCUAAUACAUGCAAGUAGAACGCUGAAGAGAGGAGCUUGCUCUUCUUGGAUGAGUUGCGAACGGGUGAGUAACGCGUAGGUAACCUGCCUGGUAGCGGGGGAUAACUAUUGGAAACGAUAGCUAAUACCGCAUAAAAUGGAUUAUCGCAUGAUAAUCCAUUGAAAGGUGCAAAUGCAUCACUACCAGAUGGACCUGCGUUGUAUUAGCUAGUUGGUGGGGUAACGGCUCACCAAGGCGACGAUACAUAGCCGACCUGAGAGGGUGAUCGGCCACACUGGGACUGAGACACGGCCCAGACUCCUACGGGAGGCAGCAGUAGGGAAUCUUCGGCAAUGGACGGAAGUCUGACCGAGCAACGCCGCGUGAGUGAAGAAGGUUUUCGGAUCGUAAAGCUCUGUUGUAAGAGGAGAACGA